This is a long non-coding RNA of Rhododendron vialii, 995 nucleotides long. RefSeq lists it as uncharacterized. The record is from RefSeq and is a predicted model, not a curated record. The transcript is spliced from 4 exons. Lineage: Eukaryota; Viridiplantae; Streptophyta; Magnoliopsida; Ericales; Ericaceae.
CACCAGGUAUUAUCCUCUCUUUCCCCUCCUUUGUACGCAUAUGUGUAUAUGUGUAUGCUUAUACUCGAUUUGCCGAUCCCCCAUUUACAGUCCCUAAUGAGAGGAGAGCAAAGGAAUGGCGUGAUUCAAAGCCAUUGCCUUCACCAAUCGAGCACCAACAGUACUAUUGUCUGGCCUCGAUCCCGUCAUCUCUUAACCCCAUCGCUUGUCUGACCUCGACCAGAACUCGAUAAGUCUAAUAAUUACACUCUCAACGUUUAUUCUUGAUUUACUUUGGAGUUUUGAUUCACGGAUCUAUUUUAGGGUUUUCAAUUUGCGUUCUCGAUUUCGGGAUUUCAAUUUUGAGGGUUUCGCAAAAUUUUCUUUGGUGUUCGGAGGCAAUCAAUUGAUGCGGCUGCAGAACCAAGUUUUCUAGAUCUAUUUUCUUCUCCACCAUUUGACGGUUCUUGAUUCUUUCGUUUGAGUUGAUGAUUUCUAGCAGGUGCUAGUUUUCGACCAUGGCCUCCGGUCACAAUUUCCUGCAGCGGAGAGUUGUUUGCCAUGUGGGAAGAUAACAAAACUAGAUCAAAGUGGGUUUUUGUCAACCACUGCUACUUCCCCAAUGACUUGCUAGAAGCAGAUGUCCUUUUUCCCCCGAAAGCAAUGAGGUUUAUGAGUCUAAUCACGGUAACACCGUAGCGGCUGGCUUGAUUCGUGGCUCAUGUGUAGUCCUUCUUCCAAGCAAGUUUAAUGAAAAAAGUGGGAGGAGAUCCCGCUUGGGGCCAGGGGCAAAUGAUGGAUUACAGCCAUUUUACCUGUGCAAUGAUUUUAUUUGCUUCAAUAGGGUAUCUUUAGUGCUCAUAAUGAGGCAUCACAAUUCUGAAGCUAUUCAUGCUUCAGAGUAUGAAUCAUUGAAUCUAGAUGCCAAUAAUGUGACAUGAACCACUUGUUUUCAUGAUUCACUAUUUCGCUACGCAUAUGACAAUAUUUCUUAUGUUAAAGCUUCUUUUUUUCCA